Non-coding RNA from Ciborinia camelliae, 105 nucleotides. NCBI's taxonomy places the organism in Eukaryota, Fungi, Ascomycota, Leotiomycetes, Helotiales, Sclerotiniaceae. The record is from the annotation of a GenBank genome assembly.
UCCCUCGUGGCGCAAUUGGCUAGCGCGUUCGACUGUUAUUCUUGGUUCACUAGAACCACGAAGAUCGGAAUCGAGAGGUUAGUGGUUCAAUCCCACUCGAGGGAG